RNAcentral lists this long non-coding RNA (253 nucleotides) under Cercocebus atys (sooty mangabey). RNAcentral describes it as "lncRNA (ENSCATG00000045428.1)". The record is from RNAcentral. Lineage: Eukaryota; Metazoa; Chordata; Mammalia; Primates; Cercopithecidae.
CAGCUGAACUGACCCCAGCCUCUUCUGAGCGGCCGUGGCGCCGGAAGCAGUCUGGCCUACAGAAUUAUGGAUUCAUUAACAGAUCCUACUGUAUGCUCUGACAGCUAUGACCACAAUGGUCCACCCACAAAUGAAUUAUCAGGCACGAACCCGGAGGCACGUAUCCAUGAAAGGUGAGUUAUGCAUACGUGUGUCUUUAUUUAUGUAAUUAUAAGUGAGCAUAGAAGUUUUCACACACACAGGCACAUAAACA